This 446-nucleotide ribosomal RNA is filed under the name uncultured bacterium. RNAcentral describes it as "bacterial SSU rRNA". It matches the Rfam family "Bacterial small subunit ribosomal RNA", at positions 958 to 1399 of the family's 1533-position model. The record is from RNAcentral.
AACGCGAAGAACCUUACCAGCCCUUGACAUGCCUCGUAUGGGCUCGAGAAAUCGGGUCCUUCAGUUCGGCUGGCGGGGACACAGGUGCUGCAUGGCUGUCGUCAGCUCGUGUCGUGAGAUGUUGGGUUAAGUCCCGCAACGAGCGCAACCCUCGCCUUCAGUUGCCAUCAGGUUUGGCUGGGCACUCUGAAGGAACUGCCGGUGACAAGCCGGAGGAAGGUGGGGAUGACGUCAAGUCCUCAUGGCCCUUAUGUCCUGGGCUACACACGUGCUACAAUGGCGGUGACAGUGGGACGCCAGGUCGCGAGGCCGAGCCGAUCUCAAAAAAGCCGUCUCAGUUCGGAUUGCACUCUGCAACUCGACUCCAUGAAGCUGGAAUCGCUAGUAAUCGCGGAUCAGAACGCCGCGGUGAAUACGUUCCCGGGCCUUGUACACACCGACUGUAC